GACGAACGCUGGCGGCGUGCUUAACACAUGCAAGUCGAACGGAAAGGCCCUGCUUUUGUGGGGUGCUCGAGUGGCGAACGGGUGAGUAACACGUGAGUAACCUGCCCUUGACUUUGGGAUAACUUCAGGAAACUGGGGGUAAUACCGGAUAGGAGCUCCUGCUGCAUGGUGGGGGUUGGAAAGUUUCGGCGGUUGGGGAUGGACUCGCGGCUUAUCAGCUUGUUGGUGGGGUAGUGGCUUACCAAGGCUUUGACGGGUAGCCGGCCUGAGAGGGUGACCGGCCACAUUGGGACUGAAAUACGGCCCAGACUCCUACGGGAGGCAGCAGUGGGGAAUAUUGCACAAUGGGCGGAAGCCUGAUGCAGCAACGCCGCGUGCGGGGUGACGGCCUUCGGGUUGUAAACCGCUUUCGCCUGUGACGAAGCGUGAGUGACGGUAAUGGGUAAAGAAGCACCGGCUAACUACGUG
Molecule: ribosomal RNA, 468 nt
Filed under: uncultured bacterium
Lineage: Bacteria
Description: partial 16S ribosomal RNA
Rfam family: Bacterial small subunit ribosomal RNA
Source: RNAcentral